Long non-coding RNA from Pseudomyrmex gracilis, 928 nucleotides. RefSeq lists it as uncharacterized. NCBI's taxonomy places the organism in Eukaryota, Metazoa, Arthropoda, Insecta, Hymenoptera, Formicidae. The record is from RefSeq and is a predicted model, not a curated record. The transcript has 3 exons.
CCAGAGUAUGUUCGAGACAAAGUUGGGUACCACCAGGUGUGUUAGAGCGUCUCAAAUCUGGGGAGAGGGGAAUCUCGCCGGCAGAAACAACACUACACAUAGAUGACAAUAUGACGUAUGUGUGACGAUUCACAAUCGGUAAAAUAUCAAUCGAAAUUUUUUCAUAGUUGAGCACCACUGCUGUUUUCACCCUGAACGAUUUGAACCUAAUGAAAAAAAUUUAUGGAGAAUAAUAAAAAAGAAGGAUUUGCUGCUCUUGACCUUGUUCACUUGUUCUUCCGAUAAUAGCAGUUGCAUUUAUUGUACAUAUAAUGACAUCUAAAAAUAUGAUUUUUUUUUCAAUGGUACAUAAUAUAUCUACAUACUUGUCUAAGUGCUGUCAUAAAAACUGGAUCAGUCAUCUUCGAGAAACCCGUCAAAACUUUUGCACUCGAUAUAUCAUGUUGCGGUUUUUGCAUCAUGUCGCUGUUUUGCAACGAGAGGUCAUCAACAAGACAACGAAGAUCUUUCUCGCGUAGUUCAUUAGCGUAGAAAAUUAGUAACUUUGGUUCAACGAGCCUUCUAGUUCAGUCAUUCCAGAAGGUGAGAUUGAAAGACAGAAACGCACUCAAGCGAACAUACGCGCGCACAAGGAAUUCCGUCCCUUAUUCCAGACAGAUGAUCACUAUUCAAGGGGUUGGGGACUGGUCCCUUGGCGCAUUCCAAAUGAGUCCGACUCCGCACUUAGGAACUGAUCAAGGCUCUUCUUCGUUGGAUCAACAGCAAAUCUAAUGCUCAGCAAAACUUCUUUUCGAAAGAACUAAUUUUUUUAUCGAUUUUCUCGGUUAAUAAAAUUGGAAAACAUUACGCAAAGGUUUAUGAUUUUCAAUAACAGAGAUAUAUAUAUUUUAUGUUAUGAUAUAUAUUUUAAUGUUUGUGUGACGUUUCU